ACGGGGCCCGGCACAAGCGGUGGAGUAUGUGGUUUAAUUCGAUGCAACGCGAAGAACCUUACCUGGUCUUGACAUCCCGGAGACCCUUAGGAAACUAGGGGGUGCUUCCAUCUGGAAGAAUCUGGAGACAGGUGCUGCAUGGCUGUCGUCAGCUCGUGUCGUGAGAUGUUGGGUUAAGUCCCGCAACGAGCGCAACCCUUGCCUUUAGUUGCCAGCAGUUCGGCUGGGCACUCUAAAGGGACUGCCGGUGUUAAACCGGAGGAAGGUGGGGAUGACGUCAAGUCCUCAUGGCCUUUAUGACCAGGGCUACACACGUACUACAAUGGCCGAUACAAAGGGCAGCGACACUGCGAGGUGAAGCCAAUCCCGUAAAAUCGGUCUCAGUCCGGAUUGGAGUCUGCAACUCGACUCCAUGAAGUUGGAAUCGCUAGUAAUCGUGGAUCAGCAUGCCACGGUGAAUACGUUCCCGGGCCUU
Molecule: ribosomal RNA, 475 nt
Filed under: uncultured Desulfobulbus sp.
Lineage: Bacteria; Pseudomonadati; Thermodesulfobacteriota; Desulfobulbia; Desulfobulbales; Desulfobulbaceae
Description: bacterial SSU rRNA
Rfam family: Bacterial small subunit ribosomal RNA
Source: RNAcentral